This 247-nucleotide ribosomal RNA is filed under the name uncultured bacterium. RNAcentral's name for it is "partial 16S ribosomal RNA". It matches the Rfam family "Bacterial small subunit ribosomal RNA", at positions 86 to 334 of the family's 1533-position model. The record is from RNAcentral.
AGCUGGCGACCGGCGCACGGGUGAGUAACACGUAUCCAACCUGCCUCAUACUCGGGGAUAGCCUUUCGAAAGAAAGAUUAAUAUCCGAUAGCAUAUAUUUCCCGCAUGGGUUUUAUAUUAAAGAAAUUCGGUAUGAGAUGGGGAUGCGUUCCAUUAGUUUGUUGGGGGGGUAACGGCCCACCAAGACUACGAUGGAUAGGGGUUCUGAGAGGAAGGUCCCCCACAUUGGAACUGAGACACGGUCCAA